UCUAUAUGGGUAAUAAAAUAAGUUUUCUUUCCUCUUCAUCUUCCUUCCCUCUCGUCUUCCCGUGUACUUUGACAUGAGAAUUAAAAUCAAAAGAGUUGUGAGAGAAGAACAAGCCAUGGAAGAAGAACAAGCUAGAGUUUUUCUUUUCUUUCUCUCAUCAUCGCUAAUUCAAGGGUUGAGUUUCUAUCUGGGUCUUGAUGUAAUAGGAGAAAUUGAGUUUUAGUUAACCCGUUGAACUAUUGCAGCAACACAUGCAAUGACUUGACGAAGCCUACAGCUGAUAAAAGUUCUUAAUUUUUCAGAGAUUUUGAAGAAAAAGAAAAAGAAGGUAUAUCCUUUAAUCUUGUUCCUGUAAUCAUACUUUGUCUUAUACCUGUAAUCGUACUUCGAUUUUAGAAUGUAUGAAGAUCUGUGUUAAUUGAUUUUAUAUUUAUCACUUGGGGAUCUCUAAAUUUUGAUGUAAUGGUUUAAAUAGAUUACAAUCGGGUGAUUCAUUCUAUUCCAUGAUUCUGGUAUUGGAAUCUAAAAUAAAUUAACUAACUCAAUUUUUGUGUACAUGAAUUGUACCAUCUUGUUUUGUAAUUUUGGGUUGCACAAGAUGGAAUGUCAUGUCUCUUGUAUUGAUUAUAUAUAUGUCACAUUAGGAUGCAUAUUUGGGUUUUGUGUAAACUGAUUUUGGUGGUGGUGGAUGUAUAGAAAAACUUAGACAUGGGAAGAAUAUGACAGCGAUCACUCCAUCAAAUGAGAUAGUGGACGUGAGUGAUAAAGCAGUCAAAUGGGGGUUCUUUGGUUCAUUGAUUCAAGUCUGUUGUAGGGGUAACUGAUUUGUCUUGCAAUCAAUUGAAUAAGGGAUGAUAUAGACGAUGUAAAAAGGGAACAUUUAAAUGGGGUGAUUUAAUGGAACGGUCAUAUCUGCAGCUAGGUUCCACAUGAUGUAAUUGGCUUAGCUCAUGUAACCAGUAUUGGCGCGACUUAGAAGGAUGGGGUCAGAGAUUAGAAAUGGUGCUCUAGACCCGUGGAUGGAAUUGGAAAGAAGGAAUUGUCUCUUUGCAAAUGCAGUGGAGAUUUUUUUUCUCCAGUAUCUACAGUUUUGGAUGGAAUUGUCUUAAUUAAAUGGUGGUGGUUUUAUGGGUGAUUCUCAUUCUGCAGACGUAAAUGAAGAUGAAAUCAAGAAGAGUGAUACUGAUGAUAAAAGAAUAUCGAUUUGGAUCAUAUUGGUCCGGAUUUAAUGCCGGGAAAUCAAACCCAAGACCUGAUUUUGCUGUUAUUCAAACAAGUGAUGAAUGAACGGGUGUUGAGAUGGUCUAUCUGCUUGCUUAGUCAAUUCUGUAGUGGGAGUUAUUGGUUGAGUCGGUUGCAGUCGAAUUUGGAAGGACAUGAAGUAGAAAUUGGUGUCGUGGUUAGACUUUAGAAGGGUCUGAAUUUGGAAAUUAGGCGGUGAUUGAAUUGGGCCUUCGACAAAUGAUUUACUAGAUCCGAAUUGGAGUCUCGCAGUACCUAUACUAAUGUUUUUGCAUUACAAUGUUUCAAAAAAUGAGAAAAAGAAGUUGGAGAAGCUCCUGCUCAAGGGACGCGAAAAUGCAACACCUACCCCAUCAGCUCCCGUGUCUGAAGCAAGAACUACAACUUCCAAACCAAGCGCUGCAUCUUUCUCGACUUUGAAGACAUCAACUUAGCUGACAACAACCUAUCUUAUGGAGCAGGACUAAAGAUAGGUUACACCUAAAUUGGAUCAGUUAGAAAGCCAUGGUUUCCUCAUUUUUUGAACUUGGAUAAGAAAAAACGGAUGUCAGUCUGAAAGUUAUGUUUGUUUUGGCUACAUAAAUUUGCUUUAGAACAAACAAAAAAAAAAACAAUUAUGUUCUGUUUUCUUAACAAUUAAUUCUCUAAUACCAAAUAUAUUUUAACUUC
Papaver somniferum (opium poppy) is the source of this 1911-nucleotide long non-coding RNA. RefSeq lists it as uncharacterized. The record is from RefSeq and is a predicted model, not a curated record. NCBI's taxonomy places the organism in Eukaryota, Viridiplantae, Streptophyta, Magnoliopsida, Ranunculales, Papaveraceae. The transcript has 3 exons.